GAUGAACGCUAGCUACAGGCUUAACACAUGCAAGUCGAGGGUAGCACGGAGGAAGCUUGCUUCCUUGGGUGACGACCGGCGCACGGGUGAGUAACGCGUAUCCGACCUACCCAUAACACGGGCACAGCCGCUCGAAAGAGUGAUUGAUUCCCGAUAUGUUAUAUAAGUAGAUUAUAUAAUGAAAGAUUUAUUGGUAACGGAUGAGGAUGCGUACGAUUAGCUAGUUGGCGGGGUAACGGCCCACCAAGGCGACGAUCGUUAGGGGUUCUGAGAGGAAGGUCCCCCCACACUGGAACUGAGACACGGUCCAGACUCCUACGGGAGGCAGCAGUGAGGAAUAUUGGUCAAUGGGCGAGAGCCUGAACCAGCCAAGUAGCGUGAAGGAUGACUGCCCUACGGGUUGUAAACUUCUUUUGUUUGGGAAUAAAAGACGCUACGUGUAGCGUUCUGCAUGUACCUUACGAAUAAGCAUCGGCUAAUUCCGUG
RNAcentral lists this ribosomal RNA (486 nucleotides) under uncultured bacterium. RNAcentral's name for it is "bacterial SSU rRNA". It matches the Rfam family "Bacterial small subunit ribosomal RNA", at positions 28 to 507 of the family's 1533-position model. The record is from RNAcentral.